UGAGGGCUAUGAGAAGUUUAUUCAGCAGCAGCUGAAAGAAGGGAAACAGCUCUGUGCUGCCCCAGAACCACAGCUUUGUCUACAGACCAGGAUUCUGACAGAGUCUUACUUUGUCACCAGGCUGGAGUGCAAUGGUGUGGUCUUGGCUCGCUGCAACCUCUGCCUCCCGGGUUUAAGCGAUUCUCCUGCCUCAGCCUCCCAAGUAGCUGGGAUUACAGAAACCAAAAGAAAAAAUACUUUUUAUCAACCUGUGUCAGUGGACAAGGAUCCCAGCUCCCCAAUCAACCACUCAUCCAGUACCUCUAACUGUUGGCAAACCAGAAGAUACAACUGAGAUAUCAGAUGCUUACACAGUCAUUGAUGUUGCCUACAAUCCUGAUGUUCUUCAUGCAGCAGAAAAGGACCAAGUGAAAAAAAAUCAGUUAAUUCAGAUGGCCAUGAAAUGCAUUGAGGAGAAAUUCCAGUUCACCCUCUCACACUCUUACCAUAUUACC
This 494-nucleotide long non-coding RNA is filed under the name Homo sapiens (human). RNAcentral's name for it is "non-protein coding lnc-TIMM8B-1:1". The record is from RNAcentral. Lineage: Eukaryota; Metazoa; Chordata; Mammalia; Primates; Hominidae.